This 481-nucleotide ribosomal RNA is filed under the name uncultured bacterium. Its description in RNAcentral is "partial 16S ribosomal RNA". It matches the Rfam family "Bacterial small subunit ribosomal RNA", at positions 29 to 523 of the family's 1533-position model. The record is from RNAcentral.
ACGAACGCUGGCGGCGCGCCUAACACAUGCAAGUCGAACGAGAGAGAGGGAGCUUGCUUCCUUGAUCGAGUGGCGAACGGGUGAGUAACGCGUGAGGAACCUGCCUCAAAGAGGGGGACAACAGUUGGAAACGACUGCUAAUACCGCAUAAGCCCACGACCCGGCAUCGGGAAGAGGGAAAAGGAGCAAUCCGCUUUGAGAUGGCCUCGCGUCCGAUUAGCUAGUUGAUGAGGUAACGGCCCACCAAGGCGACGAUCGGUAGCCGGACUGAGAGGUUGAACGGCCACAUUGGGACUGAGACACGGCCCAGACUCCUACGGGAGGCAGCAGUGGGGAAUAUUGCACAAUGGGGGAAACCCUGAUGCAGCGACGCCGCGUGGAGGAAGAAGGUCUUCGGAUUGUAAACUCCUGUUGUUGAGGAAGAUAAUGACGGUACUCAACAAGGAAGUGACGGCUAACUACGUGCCAGCAGCCGCGGUAA